AUGAAUCACGAAGAUGGCACUGAUGCUUGGGGUUCUCAAAGGCCAGAAACGCCCCCUUGGCAUGCAUCAGAGUACAGUCAACUCAUCUCUGCAGGGCCGUUGCUGCCACUACUAGAACAGUAUGCAGGCGUAGGUUCUUAUGACCAAAACACUCUUAGGGGGCCCCCGUGGCAAGUUCAGUCACAAGGCGCUAACACUGACAAAUGUACGGGCAGCCAACUUCAACUAGUUAGUAUGGCUAAUCAAGAGCCUUCAUGCAGCACGUGGCAUCAGGCAGCACCCAUGUACCUGCCAUUGACAUCAUACACAGCUACAUCUGCCAUACAUGUCCACGCGCAGACUCACGGCUUGUUGUUUGAAAUGAUGUCAUGCCAAAUCACUCGAAGAUGCGGCGCGGGGACAUCUACUGCGGGGAGCUCUGAGCGCACGGAAGACGCGUUCCACCAGCCAGCAAACAAUCAUGCCGCAAACAAUUUCGAGUCAAAGUCGGGAAUGUCAAUCAUUCCAGCAAUGCCGACAAGCACCCCUUUGAGCACAAGCACUGGCAACACUCAAGUAGAUGGAACUGCCGCCGAUACUGAAGUGAAUGAUGAAACUGACGACGACGCACAAGGGGAUGAAGAUGGUGGGCAAUCAGAGAUCGUGGUACCUCAGCCAUCGUACAUUGGGCAGAGAUUUGAAUCGUUCGAAGAAGCAAAGGAAUACUACCAGACAUAUGCAAAGUUCCAUGGAUUUGCGGUCAACACCGAGUACCAUAGGAAAAUUAAGAAAACUAACGAGUACAGCAGAGAUGGAGCACAGUGGGUGGUCAAUGAAUAUUUUGACGAGCACAACCACCAACUCAUAAAGAAGUUUGACCUGGUAAAAUUUCUGACCGCCCACAAAGGGUUCACCCCCGUCGAAAGGCAAUUCGUAAAGCUGCUACAUGAUUGUAACAUCGGUCCAUCAAGAACGGCCAAGUACCGUAGAGAGAGCAAGUUGGCAGACAUAGAGGCCACAAUGGCCUACUUCGAUGAGAAAGCGAAGGAAGAUCCAGAUUUCUUCUACAGGAUAAGGUUGGACGAUGAGGACCGUGUCAGGAACAUGUAUUGGGUGGAUGGUGCUGCAAGGAGAUCCUACAAACAUUUCCGAGAUUGCAUUUCAUUCGACGCGACGUACCUCACCAAUAUGUACAAGAUGCCAUGCGCUCCGUUCAUAGGAAUAAAUAACCACAAUCAGUUGUUGCAGUUCGGCUGCGGGCUCGUCCGGAACGAAGACAUGGAUGGGUACGUUUGGCUGUUCAAGACCUUCUUGGAGUGCAUGGAUGGACUUGCUCCGAUGAACAUAAUAACAGACCAAGAUUUCAGCAUGUGUGCAGGCAUAGAGGAGGUCUUUCCAUUGGCAGUGCACAGGCACUGCAGGUGGCACAUUAUAAAGAAGGCUGAGGAGACGCUAGGACCGUUCUUUGCUGACCGUUCAGAGCUGCACAAGGCAUUCGAGCUGUGCGUGGACCACAACUUGACGGUGGAGGAGUUUGAAAGGAGCUGGAUGGCCAUGACUGAAACACAUCAAGUCCAAGACAACGAGACUCUUGUUAGCCUGUGGGAGAAGCAAAUAUUCCAGGAAGAAAUAAAGCGUGCCAGCAUGUUCACGGUUUUCCAGGUGGACGAACAUACGUUCAAGGUGUGUUCUAUUUUGGGCAUGUCAGAUUCAGAACCUGAAGACCCGGACAAAGGAAGGAACUACUUCGUCAAAGCCUCGAUAGGCGAAGGCGAGUACUACUGUCAAUGCUGCAAGUUCGAACGGGACGACAUUACAACACACGCAGUUCUGGCUGUGCAUGACGAGAGACCUGAGUCAACCAUGGAAGCCGUGAGGCACGUUGUGCUGACAAAGAACUAUGCUGAGCUAAUUGAUGAAGCAUGCAAGAGUGAUGAGACCGCGAGAGUCGAAGAAAAAUACAGGAAGGCACUGAAAAGAGAGCUUGAUGAGAUCAAGAAGAGGAAAGCUGAGGAAGCCUUACACCGGUUCCCCCGCACAUCAAGUGUGCCUUCAUCCACGGGGCCAUCAUCUGAAAACUCGGAGAUAGGAUCUGGAACAGCAAGCACACAGACCCAUGUCAGGAACCCACCCCGUUCUAUCACAAAGGGUCGUCCAAGAGAGAUAAGGUACAAGUCGGGAUUGGAGAUCCAAGCAAAACACAAGAAAACGAAGAAAGGGGCGGGCAAUCCAUGA
This 2214-nucleotide ribosomal RNA is filed under the name Triticum aestivum (bread wheat). Its description in RNAcentral is "partial small subunit ribosomal RNA". Lineage: Eukaryota; Viridiplantae; Streptophyta; Magnoliopsida; Poales; Poaceae. The record is from RNAcentral.